Long non-coding RNA from Oncorhynchus tshawytscha (Chinook salmon), 2059 nucleotides. The record is from Ensembl. Lineage: Eukaryota; Metazoa; Chordata; Actinopteri; Salmoniformes; Salmonidae.
UGAGAGAUGGAGAGGAGUUGACUACUACCACUUCAACUAACACUCUGGGAUGGAGAGAUGGAGAGGAGUUGACUACUACCACUUCAACUAACACUCUGGGAUGGAGAGAUGGAGAGGAGUUGACUACUACCACUUCAACUAACACUCUGGGAUGUAGAGAUGGAGAGGAGUUGACUACUACCACUUCAACUAACACUCUGAGAUGUAGAGAUGAUGGGAUGGAGAGACAGAGGGAGGGGAGGGAGGGGGAGUCUGGUAGAUGGUAAUUGAGUGUUUGAGGGUUGGAUGCUGAGAAGGACUAUGACAGUCACCUGGUGCGCCUGCCUGCCUGCUAUCUAGUUAGUGUAAUAUGUGUGGCAGCAUGUCCAUGUUGAUCGUGGAGAUAAAUCACAAAUACAAACGUUUCCAUCAUGUCCUCUGAAAGAGACUUUCCAGAAAUAUGUUGUGCUGUCCAAUCUCACACACACACACACACUAUACACACACACACACACACACACACACACACACACACACACUAUACACACACUACACACACUAUACACACACACUCCCAUAUUUGUUUUUCUUUCCACAAGUCUCUUAUAAAACCUCAGGAACAAUGAUGUAUUUUAGAGUACUAUGCUCUGACACACACUACACACACACACACACACCAUGCCCAGUAAGGGCAUUCGUUUUCCCACACAGAGCUCUUGAGUUUCACUGUUGAAAGGUCAACAAACCUUACCACCAACACCAAUGCUAUGGUAUUUCAACAGAAACCCCCUGGAACUCUGACCACAGCUAGCUACACAUGGGAUUCUGGGUAGUGAUAUAGUGGCAAAACAAAUAGGUGGGUAGAAGCCGAUCACAGAGCGAUUUAAAGUAACGCUCCCUGUAUUUUCUGUUCUCCUCAAAAGGUAGGGAGAAAAUCCCGCAAAAUCAAAAAAGAUGGUGUGUAACCUGGGAAACCUCUCUCAUGGUUACCAUAGUGACAGGCUAGCUGAGCCCAGUACAGAGCUGGAGAAAACUAGCACCUCCAGUUAACACAUGGUCUCCACGUCUAACCCCCGACACACACACCCUCCCUGACCUGUCCACUCUCUCCCCGAGGACUGUUUACAUUCUGACUGGAGCAGAACACUGAUUCCUCUGAUUCACUAGAGGCUUUCUAUCUAAAUCACCAGGGUUACAACAGAACGCUGAUUCACUAGAGGCUUUAUAUCUAAAUCACCAGGGUUACAACAGAAUGCUGAUUCACUAGAGGCUUUAUAUCUAAAUCACCAGGGUUACAACAGAACACUGAUUCACUAGAGGCUUUCUAUCUAAAUCACCAGGGUUACCACAGAACACUGAUUCACGAGAGGCUUUAUAUCUAAAUCACCAGGGUUACAACAGAACACUGAUUCACUAGAGGCUUUAUAUCUAAAUCACCAGGGUUACAACAGAACACUGAUUCACUAGAGGCUUUCUAUCUAAAUCACCAGGGUUACAACAGAACACUGAUUCACUAGAGGCUUUAUAUCUAAAUCACCAGGGUUACAACAGAACACUGAUUCACUAGAGGCUUUCUAUCUAAAUCACCAGGGUUACCACAGAACACUGAUUCACUAGAGGCUUUCUAUCUAAAUCACCAGGGUUACAACAGAACACUGAUUCACUAGAGGCUUUCUAUCUAAAUCACCAGGGUUACAACAGAACACUGAUUCACUAGAGGCUUUAUAUCUAAACCACCAGGGUUACAACAGAACACUGAUUCACUAGAGGCUUUAUAUCUAAAUCACCAGGGUUACAACAGAACACUGAUUCACUAGAGGCUUUAUAUCUAAAUCACCAGGGUUACAACAGAACACUGAUUCACUAGAGGCUUUAUAUCUAAAUCACCAGGGUUACAACAGAACACUGAUUCCUCUGAUUCACUAGAGGCUUUAUAUCUAAAUCACCAGGGUUACAACAGAACACUGAUUCACUAGAGGCUUUCUAUCUAAAUCACCAGGGUUACAACAGAACACUGAUUCACUAGAGGCUUUAUAUCUAAAUCACCAGGGUUACAACAGAACACUGAUUCACUAGAGGC